RNAcentral lists this non-coding RNA (119 nucleotides) under Rossellomorea vietnamensis. Its description in RNAcentral is "Bacillus vietnamensis SAM-I sequence". It matches the Rfam family "SAM riboswitch aptamer (S box leader)". From Rfam's summary of the family: The SAM riboswitch is found upstream of a number of genes which code for proteins involved in methionine or cysteine biosynthesis in Gram-positive bacteria. The SAM riboswitch acts at the level of transcription termination control. The predicted structure consists of a complex stem-loop region followed by a single stem loop terminator region. Lineage: Bacteria; Bacillati; Bacillota; Bacilli; Caryophanales; Bacillaceae. The record is from Rfam by way of RNAcentral.
CUCUUAUCCAGAGAGGUGGAGGGACUAGGCCCGAUGAAACCCGGCAACCUUCAUGUACGCAGCAGGCGUCACAUGAAAAGGUGCUAAUUCCUGCAGGCUAUCUGCCUGAAAGAUAAGAG